GCUCAGUAACACGUGGAUAACCUACCCUUAGGACCGGGAUAACCCUGGGAAACUGGGGCUAAUACUGGAUAGAUGAUUUUUCCUGGAAUGGUUUUCUGUUUAAAUGUUUUUUCGCCUAAGGAUGGGUCUGCGGCCGAUUAGGUAGUUGGUUAGGUAAUGGCUUACCAAGCCGUUGAUCGGUACGGGUUGUGAGAGCAAGAGCCCGGAGAUGGAACCUGAGACAAGGUUCCAGGCCCUACGGGGUGCAGCAGGCGCGAAACCUCCGCAAUGUGAGAAAUCGCGACGGGGGGAUCCCAAGUGCCAUUCUUAACGGGAUGGCUUUUCAUUAGUGUAAAGAGCUUUUGGAAUAAGAGCUGGGCAAGACCGGUGCCAGCCGCCGCGGUAACACCGGCAGCUCUAGUGGUAGCUGUUUUUAUUGGGCCUAAAGCGUUCGUAGCCGGUUUGAUAAGUCACUGGUGAAAUCCUGUAGCUUAACUGUGGGAAUUGCUGGUGAUACUGUUGAACUUGAGGUCGGGAGAGGUUAGCGGUACUCCCAGGGUAGAGGUGAAAUUCUGUAAUCCUGGGAGGACCACCUGUGGCGAAGGCGGCUAACUGGAACGAACCUGACGGUGAGGGACGAAAGCUAGGGGCGCGAACCGGAUUAGAUACCCGGGUAGUCCUAGCCGUAAACGAUGCGGACUUGGUGUUGGGAUGGCUUUGAGCCGCUCCGGUGCCGAAGGGAAGCUGUUAAGUCCGCCGCCUGGGAAGUGCGGUCGCAAGACUGAAACUUAAAGGAAUUGGCGGGGGAGCAC
This 791-nucleotide ribosomal RNA is filed under the name uncultured Methanobacteriaceae archaeon. RNAcentral describes it as "bacterial SSU rRNA". It matches the Rfam family "Archaeal small subunit ribosomal RNA", at positions 88 to 879 of the family's 1478-position model. Lineage: Archaea; Methanobacteriati; Methanobacteriota; Methanobacteria; Methanobacteriales; Methanobacteriaceae. The record is from RNAcentral.